AUUGAACGCUGGCGGCAGGCUUAACACAUGCAAGUCGAGCGGGGUGAUGGUGCUUGCACUAUCACUUAGCGGCGGACGGGUGAGUAAUGCUUAGGAAUCUGCCUAUUAGUGGGGGACAACAUCUCGAAAGGGAUGCUAAUACCGCAUACGUCCUACGGGAGAAAGCAGGGGAUCACUUGUGACCUUGCGCUAAUAGAUGAGCCUAAGUCGGAUUAGCUAGUUGGUGGGGUAAAGGCCUACCAAGGCGACGAUAGGUAGCGGGUCUGAGAGGAUGAUCCGCCACACUGGGACUGAGACACGGCCCAGACUCCUACGGGAGGCAGCAGUGGGGAAUAUUGGACAAUGGGGGGAACCCUGAUCCAGCCAUGCAGCGUGUGUGAAGAAGGCCUUAUGGUUGUAAAGCACUUUAAGCGAGGAGGAGGCUCUUUUGGUUAAUACCCAAGAUGAGUGGACGUUACUCGCAGAAUAAGCACCGGCUAACUCUGUGCCAGCAGCCGCGGUAA
RNAcentral lists this ribosomal RNA (503 nucleotides) under uncultured bacterium. RNAcentral describes it as "partial 16S ribosomal RNA". It matches the Rfam family "Bacterial small subunit ribosomal RNA", at positions 30 to 523 of the family's 1533-position model. The record is from RNAcentral.